UACCCGAGAAGGCACAGUAGGGGAGCAUGGCCGUGCGAGCGCGGACUUGGUUCGGUUCUUCAAACUGAAGAACACGACUUCCCACCGUUCCGGCUUCUGAAACCCGUUCUAUUACCCUAUUCACUAUUGCUACAUUUACGGUCAAGCGGAGGAUUUUAUCAACUUGUGUUGUGUUGCGGCACAUUCGAAGAAAUCCCGUUCAGCCCUUCAGCUGCGUGUGCAGUUUUUUGCCGUGACAAUCCAGCGACAACGCCGAGGACACGGAUCCGUCGUUGAGUGAGGACAGCGGCAGGGAAGACCGGGAGAGACUCUUCACCAGUUUUUCGUCGGAGUUGGUUUACUUAUUUGUUUUCUACUGAUUUCUAUUAUUCGCCAGAUAUUGUGUUCAUGGACCAUCGUAAGCAGUUUAUUCUUCGGCAAAUUAAUUCAGCUACCUUGAGUUACUGUUGCCUCUAAAAAAGAGUUGAACUUAAGAGUGUAGCGCACUUCAUAUAUCCGCAAAAAGUUAUAUUCAUACCACUACAAAAGAAACACGUUCUGAGUCUAUUUUUUGGAUAGCCUAUUUGUGGAGUAUCUAAUUAAACGCAUUUGAAAAGGGUGCGCUUGAUGCUACUUAAAUAUUGCUGAAGAAGGCUAUUGACUAAAAUAGCCAAAUCUUUAUUUGAAAAGACUGAUUGACAUUUCAGACGAUUUUGUAUUUCUCAAAAUCAAUUCAAGUCGAUUUCUAAUUCCUAAUGACUGUAACAGUAUCGGCGCAUUGAACUGCCUUGUAAAGUCCUAAUCAGACAAGUCAUCUGUUUGGAUACCUCAGAGGAACUGAGUUUCACAAGGCUUUCAGAUGUAAAUAUCAUUUCGCAUUUCGUCUAUUCUUGUGAAGAUUUCACCGCGUCAGAAGCUGCAUAAGGAAGGACUUUGGCGUGUCCAAGUUUGAGAGCAAUGGCGCAGGUGGAGAUGAUCCUGGUCGUAUCCCUCAUCGUUUGGAUGUGUGUGUACGGCCAGGAGCCGGCCUCCAAGGUUGUGUCCGAUCGCUAUGCCGUGUACUGGAACCGCACCAACCCCAGGUUCUACCGAGGCGACUACCACAUUGACGUGUGCAUCAACGACUACCUGGACGUGUUCUGCCCUCACUACCUGGAUCCCGUCCCAGAGGAGCGGGCCGAGCACUACGUCCUCUACAUGGUCAACUACGACGGCUACAGCUCCUGUGACCACACAGCCAAGGGCUUCAAGCGCUGGGAGUGCAACCGGCCGCACUCGCCCAACGGGCCGCUCAAGUUCUCCGAGAAGUUCCAGCUGUUCACGCCCUUCUCCCUGGGCUUCGAGUUCCGCCCCGGCAGAGAGUACUACUAUAUCUCUUCCACCAUCGCAGACAACGGGAGACGCAGCUGCCUCCGACUGAAAGUGUUUGUCAGGCCAGCCAACAAUUGUGUGAAAACUGUGAGUGUUCAUGACCGGGUGUUUGACGUCAACGACAGAGUUGACAAUUCCCUGGAACCCAGAGAUGACACCAGUCACGAGUCCGCCGAGCCGUCCCGAGGCGACGUCAACGCUGCGGGGCGAGUCCGGGGCCCCGCCCUCCUGCUCAGCUCCGCCCUGCUCACGCUGGCGGCCAUCUUGUCUUUAUAGCGCCCCCAAUUGGACUUCACCACGGACUGUCCUGAUUGGACCACAGCCCCCCCCUCCCCCGCGCCCCCGCUCCCCAACCCAACAUACAACGUGUCCCCCCCAACCACCCCUCCCCCAAAAAGGAGCACUUUUUAACAGACAAUCUCUCUCUCCAAGCGUGAAGGAGAGAGCUAGAUGCCAGCUUCUGUGAUCGAUGCUGUCCUGUGGACUUAGUUGUGAAGGAUAGAACACCCUUUUGAAUCUGACAAGUUGUUUCCCCUCCCAUAGUAUACAGUUCUGUACACUCAAUGUAUAAACAAGCACCCCCUCACACUCGUUGAUCCAUGUCUGUAAGGUAAAUCAGUCAAACAGGGAAAAGAGCCUGUUUCCCACACGCUCCUGACAGACCUGGCGUGGUCGUGAACACCACAAAGUCUUACAUCAGAGGACUGUUGGGGGAAUUUCAAGCAAACCUUAAGACUGACACGACCAGCCAAUCACAAAGGGAACCAGGCUCAAGGUGGCGGACACACUAGCCAGUAGGAAAAGGAGCCACGGUUCUUGCUCGUGUGCGUUGCCGUGGAGAGGUCUGCUCCGGUUGUUCUCCUGCCUUUGAAGAGUCCAUUAGAAGUUCCUCUCAGGUGAUGCGGUUCAAUUCGAUGACUCAGAGACAGUGAAAGACGCUCUCUCUGAGAUAAACAACAAAGACAUCAAAUAAAAGCACUCAUGUUACAUUACUUUCUGUCCUGUUAGGGGAUUAGCAAUCGAUUAAUGUAUUUUUUUUUUUUAUUGAAUCACAUAAUUCAAGUGUAGCAGCCAAUACGGUUGUAUAUUUGGGAGCAGCGUGGGUGUGAUGAUAUUUUGGCAAAUGUAUUUUCCUAUUUAUUGUUUUAAGUCUCUCUUCUUCUUCUGUGGUGUUUGCGGAGGUCCAGUCGUUGUGACCGCGGCAGAACCACAUCAGAAACACUCGAAACCAGAAGUCUCUCUUCUUCUCUGGAACACUUGGUUUAUAUUCCACUGUGCUCAUGUAACAAUUGAGUUUGGACUCCAAAUUGAAUGGAUUGUUGCGUCUAGCAGAGACACACAGAGGAGUGAGUCAGAUUUGUUACCAGGAUGUAGGAGUGUAGCAUACUUUAACUAUGUGUGUUUUUAACUGUGUUUGAUGAUAACACACACUAUUAGCCCAUUUUACCAGUCACUAUUGUUACUUUUGCUAUUACUCACUGACAUAACCUUUACAAAACUACAAUUAUGUACAUAAAGACAAAUUCCAGACGAAUUUCAGGGAUGACAUCAUUAUUAACAUGAAUUAAAGCCGUUUGAUUUUGAUCCUAGUCAUUUUGAAUGGGGAGGUUCCCCUCCUACAAGCAGCACAGUGUGUCCUUGGCUGGUCAGGAUGCAGUGAGGACCAACCCACAGGUCCCAACAUUGGCUUUAGCCAAUAAUCUAACAUUGGUUAACGUUUUUCCCAACAUUGGUAAAAUAUUGUUCGGGCAAGAUUAUCUCCAUGUCUCUGUGAAGUUGUCCUAACAUUGGUUAAGAGUUGUCCCAACACUGGUUAAAUAUUGUCCAAACAUUAGUAAAAGAUUGUCCCAACAUUGGCUAAAGGUUGUCCCAACAUUCCUGAGAAGUUGUCCCAACGUUGGUAAAAGACCCUAACCCUAUCCAACAUUAGAUAACAGUUGCACCAACAUUGGUUAUAGCUUAUCCCAAUGUUGGUUAUGGGUCGUCCCAACUUGGCUGAGAGGUUGUGGCUGCGCUGGGGACAGAAGGGCCCCUGGGGCAGCUGGGCCAGGCUUGAUUUAGACAAGCUCUUUGAUGUUGUCAGCAGUGGAGUCAAUUCAGACCACCUACUGAGAGACGCAUGCUGGAUAUUUCUGGAAUGAAAGAUCGACCACCAGUGAGAAGGAGGAGGGAGGGGGAGAGGGGGAAGGAGGAAGAGAGAGAGGGAACGAGAGAAGUGGAGAGAGAGAGAGAGAGAGAGAGAGAGAGAGAGAGAAAAGGAGACGGAGAAAAAGAGUUUGAGGAAGAGAGAAGAGGGAGGGGUGGAAGGAGAGGAAGAGAGAGUCUUCCUGGUGUCCUUUUCAGCCCCAGGGUAAGAUCAGCAGAGAGAGAGAGAGAGGUGUCUUGUUCACCGCAGGGGUAACUCUACCACCAGUGGGUCUGACUGAGCAACACAGGGCAGAGAGACCCAGGUGAGAUCAAUAGUAAUGGGGCUCUCAAACACAGGAAGACGGUCAAUAUUUCCCUCACUCAAGAGAUACACAAGCUAACACAACCUCUCAGCAAAGAAGUGCACAGGAAGGUAUUUUCACCAAACGCUUUGCAUUCUGGGAUCUGUGGUUUUCAAUUUGGUGUCCGGAAAUUCACGGUCAUGGACGUCCUUCACUGCAUCCAGUCAACACCGGGAUAACACACACGUGUUGUUUCAUGGAUACCGUGUAUCCAGCCGUAGUCUAUCAUGUACAGUGUUAGGGUUUUACACGACUCCAGGGAGAGCGUUCGGAGUUAACCAAGACACGUUGUUAACACUCUUAACAGGAGGAAAAGAUUUGUUGUUUGAUAUCAAAAAACGGCUUCAUUUUUUAUGUAUUUUGUAAGAGGAACACGAUCGACGUGGCAGUGUUGAACUCAGAGAUCACCGUAUGUGCAGUAGUCGUGUCAGCUUCCCACACUUUUUUACUGCUGAUCAAGAGGUCGCAGGUUCAAAUCCCGCCCCUCACCCCCCCCCCCCGUACGUCGCACACCAACACUUGUGUGUGUUGAGGAGAAGUGUCCUACAUUGGAAGUGCUCUAUAACCAUACUCACCCCUGCCCCAGACUGCCCACCGCUCUGCAUCCUGCCCCCUGUUUCUGCCAAGCUACGCAGUGUCUGCAUCCUAAACGUCCUAUAGGUGCCUAAUGUUUGACGUCUUAGUUGGGUUUCGUCCCUGUGGGUCCUUCAGAUCUUUCACGGUUUGAGAGUCUGAGAACGACAGUAGUUCUACACACCAUGUAUGUGCUGUGGCGUCGGUUGGAUCCGGCAGAUCCAGCGCCUACUUUUUGUAAAUCUUGUUCAGUGUUGUUGGUUUUCACAGUGUGCUUGUAGGAAUUGGGCAGAUUUGAGUCCCAUGUUCCAUUUAAACAUUGAAGGGAUGAGUAAGAUGGAGAAGCAGAAUGGAAUAUCUGUUGUUGAGCUAAGUUUUUUUUUUUUACUGGGUUUGGACCAUAGUACCGUAUAGCUUGAACCUGACACCACUGUGCCCCUGUCAUUGUACCCCUCACCCCUGUACCCCCUCUCCUGGUACCUCUCACCCCUGUACCCCCUCUCCUGGUACCCCUCACCCCUGUACCCCCUCUCCUGGUACCUCUCACCCCUGUACCCCCUCUCCUUGUACCCCCUCUCCUG
Molecule: RNA transcript, 4993 nt
Organism: Osmerus eperlanus (European smelt)
Lineage: Eukaryota; Metazoa; Chordata; Actinopteri; Osmeriformes; Osmeridae
Gene: efna5a
Gene name: ephrin-A5a
Exons: 6
Source: RefSeq, a predicted model, not a curated record